RNAcentral lists this transfer RNA (80 nucleotides) under Alkalinema sp. RL_2_19. RNAcentral's name for it is "tRNA-Leu". It matches the Rfam family "tRNA". From Rfam's summary of the family: Transfer RNA (tRNA) molecules are approximately 80 nucleotides in length. Their secondary structure includes four short double-helical elements and three loops (D, anti-codon, and T loops). The record is from RNAcentral. Lineage: Bacteria; Bacillati; Cyanobacteriota; Cyanophyceae; Leptolyngbyales; Leptolyngbyaceae.
GGGCGAGUGGUGGAAUUGGUAGACGCGCCGCACUCAAAAUGCGGUCCUUCGGGGUGCGAGUUCGAGUCUCGCCUCGCCCA